RNAcentral lists this ribosomal RNA (779 nucleotides) under uncultured marine eukaryote. Its description in RNAcentral is "SSU rRNA". It matches the Rfam family "Eukaryotic small subunit ribosomal RNA", at positions 64 to 870 of the family's 1831-position model. The record is from RNAcentral.
UAUAAAUGGUAUACAAUGAAACUGCGAAUGGCUCAUUAAAACAGUUAUAGUUUAUUUGGUAAUCAAACUUACAUGGAUAACCGUGGUAAUUCUAGAGCUAAUACAUGCUGUUGUGCCCGACUCACGAAGGGCCGUAUUUAUUAGAUAUCAGCCAAUAAGCAUCUGCUAUUGUGGUGACUCAUAGUAACUUAAUCGGAUCGCAUGGGCUUGUCCCGCGACAAACCAUUCAAGUUUCUGCCCCAUCAUGCUUUCGAUGGUAGUGUAUUGGACUACCAUGGCUUUCACGGGUAACGGAGGAUUAGGGUUCGAUUCCGGAGAGGGAGCCUGAGAAACGGCUACCACUUCCACGGAAGGCAGCAGGCGCGUAAAUUACCCAAUCCUGAUUCAGGGAGGUAGUGGCAAGAAAUAAUGGGUCGGGGUUCUGCCCCGGGACCGCAAUGAGACGAAUUUAGACCCCUUAUCGAGGACCAAUUGGAGGGCAAGUCUGGUGCCAGCAGCCGCGGUAAUUCCAGCUCCAAUAGCGUAUAUUAAAGUUGUUGCAGUUAAAAGGCUCGUAGUUGGAUUUCUGGUAGUGGGCAAGAGCUCUCUGAUGAUGCUCGCGUUCAUUGCCAUCCUUCUGUUAACCUAUCAGGGCAUUCUAUUGUCAGUUAGGGGCUCAGAUAUUUUACCUUGAGAAAAUUAGAGUGUUUCAGGCAGGCUUGUGCCCGAAUACAUUAGCAUGGAAUAAUGGAAUAGGACUUUAGCCUCUUCUGUUGGUCUGAGGGGUUGAAGUAAUGAUU